GUUCUUAUAGUUGAGAUGUCAACGAUGGUUUUUCAGGCCAUAAGCCUCGGGUAAGUCCGGGUAAGAACUU
RNAcentral lists this transfer RNA (70 nucleotides) under Pionus menstruus menstruus. Its description in RNAcentral is "tRNA-Glu". Lineage: Eukaryota; Metazoa; Chordata; Aves; Psittaciformes; Psittacidae. The record is from RNAcentral. RNAcentral also lists the same sequence under 1 other name.